UUUUGUUUCUCUGUCUUUUUUCAAAUUAUGCAGAACUCUCCUACUUCCCUCAAAGGGUCUGUUCAAACUUUCUAAACUUCACUGGAAGACCUGAUGAACUAUUUUACCUCCAGAGUGCAUGACUGGUAGGGAGGUAUAGGCAUGUGUAAACUGUUUUGGCUGAAAAUGGAUUUGAAAUAUUGUUUCAAAUAUCUAUAAAAAUGAAGCCCAGCACUUCAUGGUGACAGUGUUAAUAGAGAGGAAAAUUUGCAGCCUCUUUUAGACACUGCUCCUGUUUAAAUUUCCCUGUGAUGUUAAGGUGAGGAGCAUUGUGGCAUUGCUGUGAGGUCUCUGCUGUGCAGAGAGAAUCUCAGGUGAGACCAGUUGGUCUCACAAACUCACCUUUGACCAGAUCCCUGUGCAGCAGAUGCUCAGGUGACAUUCCAGAGCCAUUGAGGGCCUGCUGCUCAGGGAGCUUCCUCCAUCCUGCUGAGGCCAGGAGGAGAGCAGGGAAUUCACUGCUUGGCAUGAGCAGUCUUGGAAGAGGGGAGAGCUCAGCUGCCUUAAAAUUAAGCAAUCAAAAUUAAAAGGAAACAUGACUGACCUCAGCUGGAUGUUGGUGCAUUUUAAAUAUGGGAUGGUGCCUUUUUGCAACCUGCCCAAGAAGUUUGCUAAUGCCCCUGAUUUAUUAUAGAGGCUGAGAGAAACAGCUUUGCACAGCAGGAUAAGCAUGCUUUUGACUUGGUUCCAGGUAUGACAAUAGCUGAGAGCCAUCAAAAGUAGGAAGAAAAUAGCUGCCAACACUUCUGUCUGACUUGGAUGAUCCUGAUUUUCCUCUUGCUCUGUCAAACCCUGCUUGCUCAGUCCUUUCUGAUGGAAUCGAGGGCAGAACGUCCUUCUGAGAGCAGCUUUUGUUCCUAUCAGCAUUUAACUGUGCUUCCUUUGUAGGAUAUGAUCUGCAGAGCCCUCUCCUCUGCCUUCCUGUGCUUCUCCAAGAGGGAAUGCUGGGUGCUGAGCACAGACAGUGGGCUGGACCUCCAAGCUGCGCAGAAUGCCAGCAGCAAUAUUCAGAGAGAAUAUUCAAGAAAAAGGUUUGCCAUUGGAAGUUUCUCAAGAAAUUUUGUCUCCUGCUCUUGACUGUGGCAACUGGAAUUAACAGACCAAUCCUUUUCUUCCCUUCUCCCUGAAAAAGGCAGUGGGAGGCCAGGACACCACCUUUAUCUGAAGGCUUAUAUUGAAACUCUGAACCAGCAGUCCAUGAUUUUGAAGGAGAGGAUGAGGGCUUUUUCCCUUACCUGAGCAAUCUGCUCUUGAACUGGAGACCACAGCCUUUAAAAGCCUGGAGUGGUGAUGUCUGCCUUUCAGAAAUCCACGCAGAGUGGAGCCAGUGAUUCCUCACGAAGGGAAGAUAAAUGCAAAAGCUGAAGGGCCUUCGUUACCUGGCUAAUG
Non-coding RNA from Zonotrichia albicollis (white-throated sparrow), 1428 nucleotides. Lineage: Eukaryota; Metazoa; Chordata; Aves; Passeriformes; Passerellidae. The record is from RefSeq and is a predicted model, not a curated record.